Molecule: ribosomal RNA, 510 nt
Filed under: Escherichia coli
Lineage: Bacteria; Pseudomonadati; Pseudomonadota; Gammaproteobacteria; Enterobacterales; Enterobacteriaceae
Description: bacterial SSU rRNA
Rfam family: Bacterial small subunit ribosomal RNA
Source: RNAcentral
UUAAAUUGAAGAGUUUGAUCAUGGCUCAGAUUGAACGCUGGCGGCAGGCCUAACACAUGCAAGUCGAACGGUAACAGGAAACAGCUUGCUGUUUCGCUGACGAGUGGCGGACGGGUGAGUAAUGUCUGGGAAACUGCCUGAUGGAGGGGGAUAACUACUGGAAACGGUAGCUAAUACCGCAUAACGUCGCAAGACCAAAGAGGGGGACCUUCGGGCCUCUUGCCAUCGGAUGUGCCCAGAUGGGAUUAGCUAGUAGGUGGGGUAACGGCUCACCUAGGCGACGAUCCCUAGCUGGUCUGAGAGGAUGACCAGCCACACUGGAACUGAGACACGGUCCAGACUCCUACGGGAGGCAGCAGUGGGGAAUAUUGCACAAUGGGCGCAAGCCUGAUGCAGCCAUGCCGCGUGUAUGAAGAAGGCCUUCGGGUUGUAAAGUACUUUCAGCGGGGAGGAAGGGAGUAAAGUUAAUACCUUUGCUCAUUGACGUUACCCGCAGAAGAAGCACCGGCU